This 530-nucleotide ribosomal RNA is filed under the name uncultured bacterium. Its description in RNAcentral is "bacterial SSU rRNA". It matches the Rfam family "Bacterial small subunit ribosomal RNA", at positions 79 to 639 of the family's 1533-position model. The record is from RNAcentral.
UUCGGGGGCUAUUAGAGUGGCGAAAGGGCGAGGAAUACGUUUCUACAUACCCUCAGGUCAGGGAUAGCCCNNGGAAACUUGGAGUAAUACCUGAUGUGGUCUCCGGAUCAAAGGCUUCGGCCGCCAGAGGAGUGGGGAACGUCCUAUCAGGUUGUUGGUGAGGUAAAGGCUCACCAAGCCUUAGACGGGUAGCGGGUGUGAGAGCAUGACCCGCCGCAUCGGGACUGAGACACUGCCCGGACUCCUACGGGAGGCUGCAGUAACGAAUCUUCCGCAAUGCGCGAAAGCGUGACGGAGCAAUGCCGCGUGCAGGAUGAAGCUUCUCGGAGUGUAAACUGCUGUCAGGGUUUAGCAACACAAUGAGCAGACCCAAAGGAAGGGCCGGCUAACUUCGUGCCAGCAGCCGCGGUAAUACGAAGGGCCCGAGCGUUGCGCGGAAUCACUGGGCUUAAAGCGUACGUAGGCGGGGCGCGCAGGCGUCUUGUGAAAGCCCUCGGCUCAACCGAGGAAUUUGCUUGACGAACCGCGUG